This is a non-coding RNA of Streptomyces chattanoogensis, 75 nucleotides long. It matches the Rfam family "ASpks TB sRNA". Lineage: Bacteria; Bacillati; Actinomycetota; Actinomycetes; Kitasatosporales; Streptomycetaceae. The record is from Rfam.
CUUCAACGACCCCAGCCACAGCGGGCGUUCGGGCGACCUGCCCCGGCCAUACGUGGCCAGCAGCGCCUGCGCCUC